AGACAUAUAGUAUAAAGGUAAUACACAUUACUACGGAUAAUGUUAUAUAGGUUCGAUUCCUAUUAUGUCUU
Non-coding RNA from Lodderomyces oxycetoniae, 71 nucleotides. Lineage: Eukaryota; Fungi; Ascomycota; Pichiomycetes; Serinales; Debaryomycetaceae. The record is from the annotation of a RefSeq genome assembly.